CAUUGGCUCAACCAANGUAUGCUUUGGAAACUGUUAGACUUGAGUGCAGAAGGGGAGAGUGGAAUUCCAUGUGUAGCGGUGAAAUGCGUAGAUAUAUGGAGGAACACCGGUGGCGAAAGCGGCUCUCUGGUCUGUCACUGACGCUGAGGCUCGAAAGCGUGGGUAGCGANCAGGAUUAGAUACCCUGGUAGUNCACGCCGUAAACGCUGAGUGCUAGGUGUUAGGUCCUNUCCGGGACUUAGUGCCGACGCUAACGCAUUAAGCACUCCGCCUGGGGAGUACGACCGCAAGGUUGAAACUCAAAGGAAUUGACGGGGGCCCGCACAAGCGGUGGAGCAUGUGGUUUAAUUCGAAGCAACGCGAAGAACCUUACCAGGUCUUGACAUCCCGAUGCCCGCUCUAGAGAUAGAGUUUUUCUUCGGAACAUCGGAGACAGGUGGUGCAUGGUUGUCGUCAGCUCGUGUCGUGAGAUGUUGGGUUAAGUCCCGCAACGAGCGUAACCCUUAUUGUUAGUUGCCAUCAUUAAGUUGGGCACUCUAGCGAGACUGCCGGUAAUAAACCGGAGGAAGGUGGGGAUGACGUCAAAUCAUCAUGCCCCUUAUGACCUGGGCUACACACGUGCUACAAUGGUUGGUACAACGAGUCGCAAGCCGGUGACGGCAAGCUAAUCUCUGAAAGCCAAUCUCAGUUCGGAUUGUAGGCUGCAACUCGCCUACAUGAAGUCGAAAUCGCUAGUAAUCGCGGAUCAGCACGCCGCGGUGAAUACGUUCCCGGGCCUUGUACACACCGCCCGUCACACCACGAGAGUUUGUAACACCCAAAGUCGGUGAGGUAACCAUUUAUGGGGCCAGC
RNAcentral lists this ribosomal RNA (852 nucleotides) under uncultured bacterium. Its description in RNAcentral is "bacterial SSU rRNA". It matches the Rfam family "Bacterial small subunit ribosomal RNA", at positions 602 to 1453 of the family's 1533-position model. The record is from RNAcentral.